CCCAUACCAUAGUUACCAUACACCCCCCAUGAUCAUUAUUCUUUCUCAUUCAUCAUUCUCAUCCUCCUCCUCUCUCUCUCUCUCUCUCUCUCUCUCUCUCUCUCUCACCCCCCUUGAAGAUAGGCGAGACUCUUGGGGGACAGAGAGAUAAAAGAGAUCAGAGAAAGCACACAUAGUCCACAUAUAUAUAGAGACACACAUGAUCGUCAAAAUCAUGGAUUUUGAAGAAGAGGAUAGAUAGAUAUGUGAAGCUUUAGCUUUUGAGGGGAAUGUUGUCUGGCUCGAGGACACUUUUCCUUGAUCUGUAUUUCUUAUAGAUCAACCUGUAUAUUUAUAUCUAGGUAUACAUAUAUAUGGCUUUUGGUGAAUUAGUGUCGUCGGACCAGGCUUCAUUCCCCCCAAUUUAUGGCUUCCAUUGACCUGUUCUUUUUCCACGGCAGAGGGCUUAAUUCUUCACAGUCUUAGAGGUUUGCCUUCUGUUUUCUUUUUAUGUUUUAGAUGAUUUGCUAUUUUGGGUUCUUUUUUAUGUUAUGUUUUGUUUCUUUUCUGGGGUUAUUUAUUGGCAGUUUAAAAUCAUGGGUUUUUGUUUUUAGAUCAAUUAAGGUUGUUAGUUUUAUGCAGAUUGGAGUAAUGAUGGAGUAUUUGACUACUAUUGCUCCUUUUUCAGUUUCAUAGACUGCAUAAAAAGUUUCAUCAUUGCUCUCCCUUUUCAUUUAUUUGUUUCGUUGUUCAUGAUCAUAAAAUUAUGAUGAUGUUGUUUUUGUCAGUCUAAGGCUCUAAGCGCUUUUUCCGCUUCAUCAUUAUCCAGAUUUACCUCAUGAUGCCUUCCAGUAUCUGAUCUGUCUGUUUCUGCCAUUUUUCAGAUCUGGCUUUUUUGGCUUUCUAUUUAAACUUUGGUAAACAUUCUCUCUUCUUUCUCACGUUCUAACUCUCUCUCUCUCUCUCUCUCUCUCUCUCUCUCUCUUAGGGUUUCGUAGGUCUAGAUUUAGGCUAUUAUCUAAAUGAAUCUUUUAGAAAAUAGCAUAAGCCUUUGCUUAGGAGAACAAGCAAGGAAAUGACACCCUUUCUGACAUUGUUUGAAAUGCCUAUUUUCAUUUGUCAACAGUUUUCUAUUGCUCUCAGUCAGUAAUCCUUUUCUCAGAGUGUUGAUUAAUAAUAAUGUUUAAAGAUACAUAUAUAUAUAUAUAUAUAUAUAUAUGAUUGCUGUAUUUCAUCAUUUUGCAGAUCAGUUAAUUAUAUUCUUGUUACUUUUAUUUAUAUGCCAUGAUGCUUCAGAGCUAUCUUUCUUUUGGUCUUGAUGAUAAUGUCCUUGCUGGACAUCUCUUUAUAACUUGAACUUUGCUUCUUUCAAAAUGUGAUGAGCGUAUGACAUGUACAUUGCAGCACAAAGGACAACUAUAACUUUGGGUAAGUGUGUGUGUCUGGUUGUCCAAAAGAAAGCAAGUCCAAAAGAAAGCCUGGUCACUUGCCUUUCCUUUAGUAUCUUCUUAGUGGAUAUACCUAUUGAAACCCUAAUCUUGUUCAUCUUUGAUUUGCUGUGAAAAGCUUUGUGAAUCAAAGCUUUUAGUCACUCACAUUGUCUUUUCCCCUCCUGACUUUUUGUCUUUUCAUUAUGGUUUUAUUUGACUGACUGUGCUAGCUAGCUCAGAGUCCAGGGGCUUAGAAUACAGCCAUUGCUGAAAACUAAGGGUAUUGAAAAUGCAUAUGCUAGACAAGAACAAGGAGCACUGUGGAGGUAAUCUAGAUGCCCCAAACAAGUUACAAACUACUAAUUUGAUCAAGUUCUUCUUAGAACUUUCUUAAGCUUAAGAGUUUAAGAAUUCCCUUUGUACAAUCCCAGAGUUCAAUUUCUUCUUGAAGUCAAUGUAAUCUAGUGUUUUGUUGGUCAAUGUAAUCUAGUGUUUUGUUGUCUCCCUUAUUUAUUUACUCAUUUUGGUUACAUUGGAGUUCGAACUGGGUGCCAUCAUGCCACCACCACUAUAGUGGGAACCCAUUGGCGUUAUCUCCCUUCUUUAGAAACUAUACAUGUAUUCUUCAAGGCUACUGAUUAAUCCCAGAGUUCAAUUUCUUCUUAAUUAUUCUAGUGUUUUUUGUUAUCUACAUUCUUUAAUUUCCUUCUUAGUUUUGAUAACAAGGUUUUGGAACAUGUGUUGUCUUGGCCUCUAAGAACUUAUAGUAAUUAACAUUCCUUAUUCUAAUUCAUGUAAGCUCUCUUUCUGUCCCUCUCAAUCCCACACACACACACAUUUAGAUCAGCACAUUCAUCUUCAGAUAUUGCUUGCUAUUAUAUACAUGCAAGUGGUCUUCUUGUCUCUUUCUAGUUUUUUCACACUAUUAUUUUCCAUGUCACAUAACCCUGAUUGCAAGAAAAGUCAAUGUAUGAAAAGCAGCUGGUUUGGAAUCAAGGAAGAAAUCUCAUUUGCUAGCAAUCAAACUCUUCCCCUUUGUGCUUUGAUGUUUUCACUAAUGUGGUGCACUUGGAAGGAGGGGGAGAGUUUGGCUUACUUUUCCACUGUGGUGCCACCCCAUGUGCGUUAAAAUUCAGCUAUUAGCAGGAGCAUAAUUUAUGCUGUCAUCUUCAUUUUGGCCUCCUACCUAGACAACAAAAUCUUCAUUUUUAAAGCAUGUUUUUCCAAUAGCAUGAGGUAGGUCGCACACUUGUUUCAUACACUUCAACCAUAACAUCCUUUCUUCUAAUCUUCUUCUUUGGUUCUUUUUAUUAUUAUUAUUAUUUUUCCAUCUAUUGGGUUUCAAAUGAACGUCUUAUUGAUUAAUCAAACACUAAAAGCCUUAUUACUUUGCCAAACUAAUAUUCAUUUGUUAAUUAGUGGGAUUUCCAAUUGGACCCAACAAGUCCCAAAACUCCACGGGUCAAGCUCAAACUAAACCUUUAGGCUCAGACAAAUGGGUCAAGCUAAGUUUGGGCUUGUAGGGUGGAUGCAAUGCAAGGUCCAAAUAAUAACGUAAUUAUUGUUGGCAAUAAUAUUUUUGCGUUUGGCUCCAAAUAUAAUUUGGUUGGUUCAAAUUAGAGAAGACCGAUUCUCCACUAGCUAGCUAGCUAGUAGUAGUGCCGAGCAGGUGGAAAUGGAACAGAUCCAUGUAUAAGCUGCCGGCUUCAAUGCAUUGACCUCAAUGAUAUAAUAUAAUAAUUAUUUGAGGAUCAAAGGAAAUUAUGUUUCACGAAAGAUAUUCAGAGACAAAGCAACCUCCCCCACUCCAGCAAUAAAACGGAGAAUAACAUGUCAAUUACAUCUUCUUUUCUCUUUUGCUUUCUUCAAAAAAGCAACACUGAAUCUGAUGGCUCACUCCCCCACUUUGGCUGGUUUUUUUAUUUAUUUCUUCCAUCCCCAUUUCUUGACUUUGCAUCUUGCUAAUCUAUACCAUAUAUUUUAUGUGUCCCCUUGCUUAUUUAGUUUAACAAACAUAAUCAUGUAUAGUAUGUAAUUGUAUAUAAGUUGGAAGAACAUAACUUAGUGGGUAGUUCUACGACACUUUUUAAUCAUUUCGUACAUAUAUUAUAUAUAUAAUUAAUUUAGUGUAUUUUUUAAAUAUAGAAAUUGUAUGGUUCUUUUAAUGCUAAUUGACUUGUGUAUAACUUAGUUGAUACAAUUUAUACA
Prunus persica (peach) is the source of this 3617-nucleotide long non-coding RNA. RefSeq lists it as uncharacterized. The record is from RefSeq and is a predicted model, not a curated record. Lineage: Eukaryota; Viridiplantae; Streptophyta; Magnoliopsida; Rosales; Rosaceae. The transcript is spliced from 2 exons.